Molecule: ribosomal RNA, 507 nt
Filed under: uncultured bacterium
Lineage: Bacteria
Description: bacterial SSU rRNA
Rfam family: Bacterial small subunit ribosomal RNA
Source: RNAcentral
AGUGAACGCUGGCGGCAGGCCUAAUACAUGCAAGUCGAACGGCAGCACAGCAGAGCUUGCUCUGUGGGUGGCGAGUGGCGGACGGGUGAGGAAUACGUGGGAAUCUGCCCAGUCGUGGGGGAUAACGUAGGGAAACUUACGCUAAUACCGCAUGCGCCCUUCGGGGGAAAGCCGGGGGACCUUCGGGCCUGGCGCGAUUGGAUGAGCCCACGUCGGAUUAGCUAGUUGGCGGGGUAAAGGCCCACCAAGGCGACGAUCCGUAGCUGGUCUGAGAGGAUGAUCAGCCACACUGGAACUGAGACACGGUCCAGACUCCUACGGGAGGCAGCAGUAGGGAAUAUUGGACAAUGGGCGCAAGCCUGAUCCAGCCAUGCCGCGUGAGUGAAGAAGGCCCUCGGGUUGUAAAGCUCUUUGUCCGGAAAGAAAAGCGCCGGGUUAAUACCCUGGUGUCCUGACGGUGCCGGAAGAAUAAGCACCGGCUAACUUCGUGCCAGCAGCCGCGGUAAU